GACGAACGCUGGCGGCGUGCUUAACACAUGCAAGUCGAACGGUGAAGCGCCUUCCUUUUUGGUGGGUGUGGAUGAGUGGCGAACGGGUGAGUAACACGUGAGUAACCUGCCCCCUUCUUCUGGAUAACCGCAUGAAAGUGUGUCUAAUACGGGAUAUUCUGGGUCUGUCGCCUGCUGGGUCUGGGAAAGAUAUUGUUUCGGUGGGGGAUGGGCUCGCGGCCUAUCAGCUGGUUGGUGGGGUGAUGGCCUACCAAGGCGGUGACGGGUAGCCGGCCUGAGAGGGUGGCCGGUCACACUGGGACUGAGACACGGCCCAGACUCGUACGGGAGGCAGCAGUGAGGACUAUUGGACAAUGGGCGCAAGACUGAUGCAGCGAGGCCGCGUGAGGGAUGGAGGCCUUCGGGUUGUGAACCGCUUUCGCCAGUGAAGUAGGGCUGCCUCGCUUGUGGGUGGGUUGACGGUAGCUGGAGAAGAAGCUCCGGCUAACUACGUG
RNAcentral lists this ribosomal RNA (494 nucleotides) under uncultured bacterium. RNAcentral's name for it is "partial 16S ribosomal RNA". It matches the Rfam family "Bacterial small subunit ribosomal RNA", at positions 28 to 507 of the family's 1533-position model. The record is from RNAcentral.